Molecule: ribosomal RNA, 507 nt
Filed under: uncultured Glomus
Lineage: Eukaryota; Fungi; Glomeromycota; Glomeromycetes; Glomerales; Glomeraceae
Description: bacterial SSU rRNA
Rfam family: Eukaryotic small subunit ribosomal RNA
Source: RNAcentral
AGCAGCCGCGGUAAUUCCAGCUCCAAUAGCGUAUAUUAAAGUUGUUGCAGUUAAAAAGCUCGUAGUUGAAUUUCGGGAUCAGUACGCUGGUCAUGCCUUUGGUAUGCACUGGUGUCACUGGUUUCUCCCUUCUGAAGAACCGUGAUGUCAUUAAUUUGGUGUCGCGGGGAAUCAGGACUGUUACUUUGAAAAAUUAGAGUGUUUAAAGCAGGCUCACGCUUGAAUACAUUAGCAUGGAAUAAUGAAAUAGGACGUUUGACCCUAUUUUGUUGGUUUCUAGGAUCGACGUAGUGAUUAAUAGGGAUAGUUGGGGGCAUUAGUAUUCAAUUGUCAGAGGUGAAAUUCUUGAAUUUAUUGAAGACUAACUACUGCGAAAGCAUUUGCCAAGGAUGUUUUCAUUAAUCAAGAACGAAAGUUAGGGGAUCGAAGACGAUCAGAUACCGUCGUAGUUCUGACCAUAAACGAUGUCGACUAGCGAUCCGCGGUCGUUGUUCAUAUGACCUCGCC